AUAAAAGUAGUGAAUAUCACAUCAUUAUUUCAUAAUGAAAAUGAAAGGUUUUUAGUCUUCUUUAUC
RNAcentral lists this transfer RNA (66 nucleotides) under Selenops bursarius. Its description in RNAcentral is "tRNA-Glu". The record is from RNAcentral. Lineage: Eukaryota; Metazoa; Arthropoda; Arachnida; Araneae; Selenopidae.